CAGUGGAUAUAUUUUUAUAUUAUAUUAUCAUAUUAUCAUCUCAGCAGCAGCUAUCAAGUGGCUACUGUUCCCCUUGCCCCCAAAGCCCGCUGAUUCUUAGGGGCUGGGCCCUAAAAUGUAGGAAUAUUUCUUCUUUUUUUUUUUCAGCCAGGGAAACCAGAGUCAGCCGGAUGAGGCGCCUUAGCCUGGUAUCUACAUUUGACCUUGGAUUUGCUGCCAGGAGGUUCAAAGACCACAGGGAGCGGGGCCAACGGGCCCUGGCAGGGGGCUCUGCCAAGCCAGAGCUCAGAGGGGCAGCCUGGAUUGAGCAGAUAAAACCUCACCGAGCUGUUUGUUGCGUGCACAGAGCAGACCGCCAGGCGCUUUUCAAAAGCCACCGCGCUCCUGUGUGUGGGUGAACUGUCCCUUGCUCCAGCAAGACACACAGAGCAGGAUCAAGGGACUAAAUCCUUGGCUGUGCAUCAGAGGCACCUGGGGAGCUGUUAGAGCCCAACUCCCUCAAUCGAGAUCCUCCACAGAUCAAAUAAAGGAAAACCUCGUGGGUCACACACUGACCCGGGCAACCGUCAUGCCCAUCAGGGUGGAAAUCUCCUGAGAUAAACCUUCAGGGAAUGAACCAGGGGAGGGAUAUUGAAAACAUUUCUGGUGUCAGGGAGAGCACUGAACUUUUAUGUCUAAUGUGCCCCUCCCUUAACGCUAUUUUCGAAGAAGGGGGUUCAUGUAGCCCAGGCUAGCCUAUAAUUCACUACAUAGAUGAUACCUUAAACUCCUGAUCCUCCUGUCUCUACACCUCCAAAAUGCUAAGAUAGGCAAAAGACAGGCAUGCUGUCAUGCCUGAUUUUUUUUUCUUCUGGUGACCUUUUACUUUAUUUUGGUUUGAGGGUGGGUGGGUGGGUGGGCAUAGAGUCCCAUUACAUAGCAGAGGCUGCCUUGGAACUCACUCUGUAGCAUAAUUCCUGAGCCGUCAUGCCUACCUAGCUCAUAUAACCCUUUUAACAUAGGGGCUGAAGCAAGCCCGAAUUCAAAGGAAAUGCUAUUAUUACCCUCAUCAGAGUCAAGAAACGGUUACCUGUGACAUGUUCCUCUUGGGGAAGACUAGGCUCCCCUAGGACCAGAUAGGUGGGGGACUAGGUAUACAUGACCAGUGGCCAACUCCUCCCAAAACUCUGACCUCUUUGACUUCAGCAGACUCUGAACAGAUCUUGAAAGACAUCAAUUCGCUUGCCUCCUACUUGAACCCGGUGACUCUGGCCACCUGGGACAGAGCUGAGAUUUCUCUUCACAGGGAAUGAUGGCAGUUGAAUAUGGAGUGAUAUCACCCAGGCUACACGGGGAGGGGUUGUUCCAUCUUUUAAGAAAGACUCCGCCCCAGGGCUGUCUCUCCCCAAUAUUCCCUGGCAUCUCCCCUACUCCAUUUUUUUUUUUUUUUGGACCCAGGGUAGAAAGCCAGCUGAUAUCAACCUCCACGGAUGGCCUUAGCCUAUCUCAGGCUCUAUUUCUGUACCUUUUAAGAAAGGGGCUCGUGAAGCCCAGGCUAGCCUCGGAACUCCCUAUACAGCUAAGCAUGACCUCAAAUUCCUGACUUCUUUGCUCCCAUCUCCUGAGAGCCGGGACCACAGGUGUGAGCCACUGCCUCUGGUUUAUGUGGUGCUAGGGAUGGAAUACGGAACUCCGAGCACGCUAGAGGAGUACUGUAUUAGCCAAGCCAAAUCUUCUUGUAGAUCUCACUCUAUAGCUUAGGCUGCCCCUCCAACUUGAUAGCAUGGUCCAUCAGGUGUGGCUUUUCAUGCCUGGCUUCAGCCUAUUUGUAAAGACGAACAGUUUCUUUAUGUUGAAGGAGUGUAACCAUCUGGGGAGGAGGGUGCACAGAUGUCAGGAGACACAUCUGGGGCGGGAGGGUCAGGUGACACUGCUCUUAACUACUGGCUUGCGGCCACUGCAGGGUCCUUCUGCUGCUACCCACAACCCUCAGUCUUGUCUGAGCCCAGGAACUCUUGUCCUACAGUGGGCUUCGAGCCCCAGCAGAGGCUCUUCCCUCCCAUUCAGCCUCGGACCACAGCCCUGUCCCGCCGCCCGCCCUGCAGCUCCAGUCCCCAGUUCAAGUUCAGGUUCCCACGACAAUGAGGUCUCUUACGGAAACCAGACCCCAGCAGAUGGUUCACAGGCUCACACAUCUUUCCCCACAGCCGGAUGCACCUUCCGUCUGGGAGCAGUCUCCUUCCUCCCCCAUAACCUAAUGUGCCUGGUCAGGACACAUAUCAGAUGGCCAAAACGAUAACUUGAGGCUCAGUGUAGCCUCUGAUACCCGCCAUGCCCUGUUUGUCAGGAGAUGGGCACUUUCCCCAGCUCACUCCCUGGCCUGUAUUCCACCUUGGCAAUCCCUCGUACAGGCAUGGACUCGCACAUGCUCACACACACCUGGGCACCAACACACACAGUGACAUCCUACACCUGGGCCCCAGAUUUCUUCAGGAUUUUUUUUUUUUUUGAGAUAGCCUGAUGUAGCCCAAAUGGCCUCGAACUCACUACGCAGCCAACGAUGCCUUGAAUUCCUGAUCAUCCGAUGACCAUUACACAGGUAUGCGUCACCACGCCCACCUAGUUUGCUCAGAGGCUCAAGAAUGUUUAGCAUGCCCUCCAUCAACGGAGACAUCCUCCCUCAACUCUCUUAGUUGUUCUUGAGAUGGGGUCUGGUUGGCUUUAAACUUACAUGCUGGGGCUCACAGGUGUGAUCCCAUCAGACAACUUCACAGUUGCCUCCCUCCACCACCAUCUGUCUAGGAAUGGACUUGUGAACAGACCUUCAAACCUUUCCAGACACUCUUCUUUCAGGAACAUCCUUGGCCAGAAGCUCACAUUGACACCUUGCAACAUGAUCUGAAACACACACACACACACACACACACACACACACACACACACACACACGGAAUCCCACCAUCUCCAAGCAAAGACAAACCAAGAUUGUCUCUCCACAGGCUGGGUCCCGAAGGUUGUGGAUAGCGUGGGACCAGCGAGGGGCAGCAUGGGACCGGCGAGGGGCCCCUUACCUCCAGGCUGCGCGGGAUGGAGGAGGUUGAGCAAGAGGAUCAGCAAGACGCCAGGCUGCGGGACUGCCGCUGUCAGACCCGCCAUCUCGGGGAGGACUGCCCCAGCCUGCUCUCUGCGCCUCGUUUUAUCCCCAAAGCGUAAUUGCUGCCUGAGGCUCCGUGGACCUGCGAAGGGUGCAUGGCUCCAGAUUCUCUGCACUGCUCACCCAUGCACGUUAACGCAGCACCUGCACUGAGAAGGCAAAGUGAGUCGCUACCAUGGCUGGCAGAUGGAAGGACCCACCAGUUUCGCUGUGUUGAACAGAGUACCAAUGAGAACUCAGGAAAUGCAGGUGGAGAAUGCCACAGUAUCACUGCCAGAAGCCACCGACUGUGGAGAGCUAUACUCCAGCCUCUUUUCCACAAUUUCUUAAAAACAAACAAACAACAACCAAACUUA
Rattus norvegicus (Norway rat) is the source of this 3489-nucleotide long non-coding RNA. RefSeq lists it as uncharacterized. The record is from RefSeq and is a predicted model, not a curated record. NCBI's taxonomy places the organism in Eukaryota, Metazoa, Chordata, Mammalia, Rodentia, Muridae.